This 54-nucleotide non-coding RNA is filed under the name unclassified sequences. The record is from RNAcentral.
CUCUAUCAAAUAGGCUACCUUGACGUGGUGAUAGAGCUUUCAACUAAAUGCCUA